GAUGAACGCUGGCGGCGUGCCUAAUACAUGCAAGUCGAGCGAACGGACGAGAAGCUUGCUUCUCUGAUGUUAGCGGCGGACGGGUGAGUAACACGUGGAUAACCUACCUAUAAGACUGGGAUAACUUCGGGAAACCGUAGCUAAUACCGGAUAAUAUUUUGAACCGCAUGGUUCAAAAGUGAAAGACGGUCUUGCUGUCACUUAUAGAUGGAUCCGCGCUGCAUUAGCUAGUUGGUAGGGUAACGGCUUACCAAGGCAACGAUGCAUAGCCGACCUGAGAGGGUGAUCGGCCACACUGGAACUGAGACACGGUCCAGACUCCUACGGGAGGCAGCAGUAGGGAAUCUUCCGCAAUGGGUGAAAGCCUGACGGAGCAACGCCGCGUGAGUGAUGAAGGUCUUCGGAUCGUAAAACUCUGUUAUUAGGGAAGAACAUAUGUGUAAGUAACUGUGCACAUCUUGACGGUACCUAAUCAGAAAGCCACGGCUAACUACGUG
Molecule: ribosomal RNA, 497 nt
Filed under: uncultured bacterium
Lineage: Bacteria
Description: partial 16S ribosomal RNA
Rfam family: Bacterial small subunit ribosomal RNA
Source: RNAcentral